UGUGUUAAAAUGCUUGUUCCAGCUUGCCUC
RNAcentral lists this non-coding RNA (30 nucleotides) under Mus musculus (house mouse). Lineage: Eukaryota; Metazoa; Chordata; Mammalia; Rodentia; Muridae. The record is from RNAcentral.